RNAcentral lists this long non-coding RNA (784 nucleotides) under Sorghum bicolor (sorghum). RNAcentral describes it as "long non-coding RNA (SBIC_LNC013893)". Lineage: Eukaryota; Viridiplantae; Streptophyta; Magnoliopsida; Poales; Poaceae. The record is from RNAcentral.
UCAAAUAAUUGUAAUUUAAUUCAAAUGCAAAUUUCAAAUCCAAACACGUUGACACCAUACCAUCAACAAUAAUUUAGUGCAUUCAAACUGAAAACGGUGCAUCAUCACAUUACAAUUAGGGUGUUCACUAAUAAUAACUGCAAAGUCUAGCUAACAGUUAAACACUAACAUAAAAGUAGUUGUCCAAUCCACAUGUUUGUUUUGGCAACACAACAUAGGUACCAUGAUUUUGCGACAGACCAUAAGUGCCAUGUUUUGGCAACAAAAGAUGUUAGAAAAAUAGAAAGUCAUCCAUAGGAGAGUAGUUGCCGCCACCACUUGUAGUUGCUGUAUUUUCAUGGCCACGGAAUCUUCCUUAAACAGUCCUACUCAAUGUUUCAUCAGGAGUUUAUAUUCCAACAGAAGAGCCAUCAGUACAAGCCUAUUCAAUUGAAUAAAUAAAAUUUCAAUUAAAUAAGUCGAAAUUUCACCAAAAAUGCUAUGCCAAAAAUAGGUUCAUGGACAUAGCAUUUAAAAAUAGAUUUCACUAGACUAGCUGAUAUGUGUACAAUAAUUAACAUUAACAAAAGACCAAAAUUAUCAUAGUGCUAAGCUUCUUAAUUUCUAAUUUUCAAAAAUAAACAAAGCGUAUAAAUUAUUUAUACAUGCCAAUUCUGUUUUGACUUAAUUAACAAUAUAAAAAGCACCGAGAAAAGGGAAAUUUCCUUCUCACCUGAAAUCCUUUGUUCAGAAGUGGCAAGUAGACCGUGAAGCCUUCUUUCUAAAGAUGUGGCGCUCCCUUGUC